RNAcentral lists this ribosomal RNA (199 nucleotides) under uncultured bacterium. RNAcentral describes it as "partial 16S ribosomal RNA". It matches the Rfam family "Bacterial small subunit ribosomal RNA", at positions 328 to 544 of the family's 1533-position model. The record is from RNAcentral.
ACGCUCGACACCUACGGGAGUCAGCAGUGGGGAAUAUUGCACAAUGGGGGAAACCCUGAUGCAGCGACGCCGCGUGGAGGAAGAAGGUCUUCGGAUUGUAAACUCCUGUUGUUGGGGAAAAAGAGGAUGGUACCCAACAAGGAAGUGACGGCUAACUACGUGCCAACAGCCGCGGUAAUCUGAGCGGGCGUGGCAAGGC